Jaculus jaculus (lesser Egyptian jerboa) is the source of this 104-nucleotide small nuclear RNA. NCBI's taxonomy places the organism in Eukaryota, Metazoa, Chordata, Mammalia, Rodentia, Dipodidae. The record is from Ensembl.
GUGCUCGCUUCGGCAUCACAUAUACUAAAAUUGGAACGAUACAGAGAUUAGCAUGGCCCUUGCAGAAGGAUGACAUGCAAAUUUGUGAAGCAUUCCAUAUUAAA